GCGCCAUUAGCUCAAUUGGAUAGAGUAGCGGACUUCGAAUCCGAAGGUUGUGGGUUCAAUUCCCUCAUGGCGUACCA
This 77-nucleotide transfer RNA is filed under the name Sedimentibacter sp. zth1. RNAcentral's name for it is "tRNA-Arg". It matches the Rfam family "tRNA". From Rfam's summary of the family: Transfer RNA (tRNA) molecules are approximately 80 nucleotides in length. Their secondary structure includes four short double-helical elements and three loops (D, anti-codon, and T loops). Lineage: Bacteria; Bacillati; Bacillota; Tissierellia. The record is from RNAcentral.